UCCCUUACGCGACCCGUGUUGUUGCCCAC
This 29-nucleotide small RNA is filed under the name Bombyx mori (domestic silkworm). RNAcentral describes it as "ovarian small RNA-27424". The record is from RNAcentral. Lineage: Eukaryota; Metazoa; Arthropoda; Insecta; Lepidoptera; Bombycidae.